AAGUCUGGUGCCAGCAGCCGCGGUAAUUCCAGCUCUAAUAGCGUAUAUUAAUACUGUUGCAGUUAAAACGCUCGUAGUUGAACUUAGAGUUAUUACAAGUUUGGUUUAAUUGAUUUUAAACUGCUUGCUUAAUUCUUAUCUACUAGAUACUCUAUUCUGUACUUAAUUGUAUGGAAUAUCACCUAGCCAGUGGAACUUUGGUGAAAUAAUGCCUUUUUAAUACCAGAGUGUAAAACUUAGAAGUGUUAAUUUGGGAUCACAUUAUUUUAUUGAAGUGGGGUUCUAGUUAAUUUACUUUGAGUAAAUUAGAGUGUUCAAAGCAGCCUCUUGGGGCUUUGAAUAGAUUUAGCAUGGGAUAAUAGAAUAGGAUUUGAUAAUCUAUUUGUUGGUUUGAAUUAAUCAAAUAAUGAUUAAUAGGGACAGUUGGGG
This 429-nucleotide ribosomal RNA is filed under the name uncultured eukaryote. Its description in RNAcentral is "partial 18S ribosomal RNA". It matches the Rfam family "Eukaryotic small subunit ribosomal RNA", at positions 557 to 887 of the family's 1831-position model. The record is from RNAcentral.